Molecule: small nuclear RNA, 107 nt
Organism: Macaca fascicularis (crab-eating macaque)
Lineage: Eukaryota; Metazoa; Chordata; Mammalia; Primates; Cercopithecidae
Source: Ensembl
GUGCUCCCUUUGGCAGCACAUAUACUAAAAUUGGAAUGAUACAGAGAAAAUUAGCAUGGCCUCUGAGCAAGAAUGACACACAAAUUCAUGAAGUAUUACAUAUCUAA